UACAACUAAUUUAAUCGAAUUUAACCUAGAUUCAAUUCAAAAUAGAUAAAAACACUUUAAUGUUUGAUGUUGUGUCUAAAUAUACCUAAAGAAAAUAGGGAUAUUUAGACACUAUAUAGAAUUUGCCUAUAAUAAUCUACUAUCUUUGUGACAAAUUAUUUAUCGUACAACUUACCUGGCAAAGGGGCUACUCAAAGUUUGCGGGUGAAGCCUUAAUCAGCUUGACAUGGGAUUAUCUGAACGCGCUCUCUGACUUGAGCACAUUCUACAAUAAACCAUCAAUCUAAAUGGAAAAUUCAGGAGGAAGCCUCAACAAAAAAGGGUCCAUACUGGAAAAUACGAAAUAUAGUAAGAAAAUUCCAAAAAGAUGCAUCUUAACCUAAUGGCUGUGUAUAUCUUAAAUUCAAUCAAUUGUAAUAAUUUCGAAAAGUAAUUAAAUAAAUAUACACGUUAUUAAUCUAUUACUAUGGAUAUCACACAUAAGUUCGGUGUAACAUACUUCGACUCAGCAAGUAACAUCGACCCCUACACGUAAUAUCCGAGACCCAUGUAACUCUUUGAUUCAAAGAGUCCGGUAGUCGUGUGUGAUAUUAUAGGCAGUAUCCACAGCAGUGAGGAAGUUGAAGGUAUCUGGU
This is a long non-coding RNA of Pieris brassicae (large cabbage white), 635 nucleotides long. RefSeq lists it as uncharacterized. The transcript has 5 exons. The record is from RefSeq and is a predicted model, not a curated record. Lineage: Eukaryota; Metazoa; Arthropoda; Insecta; Lepidoptera; Pieridae.